CCCGGGUCGGCCCUUCACGGCGCUCCCACCCCCGGCCCUAUACUCUCCAUCCCCUACACGGUGCUCCCAUCCCCUGCACUGCGCUCCCAGCCCGUGUCCCAGCUCAGCCCCACUCUGUGCUCCCGGCGCUGUUUUGCACUGUGUGUGUGCAAGGGGAAAAUAAAUGCGUCUUCCCCCGGGUGAGUGAGCGUCGGUUUGUGCUCACGCCGGCUUUGAUCGCCGGGUGCACGCGCUGCUCGCUCCGGGCGGCGGACGGACUGCUCGAAAAUGGCCCCGUCCGUCACCGCUGAAGUUACGGCUCAGGCAGCGCCGUGCAAUCGCCGCCGAUCGUUUCCCGUCGCCGUCCUCCCUGGGAGCAGCGCGGCCGUUUCUGCCUCCAUUUCCACUUUUUGCCGAGGCUGCUGCUCACAAAGAUACUAAUCGCGAUGGCGGGUUUUAUGUUAAUGAGUCGCACGUAAUGAUCAACCCGGCAACUACAGACCUUCAAAUCGCAGGCUGGCCGCGGCGUGGCCGUGACCAAUGGCACUGGGUGGGGACGCUCCAGGCCUGCGCCCGCCGAGCGCACAGCCGACGGCGCCGGGCACGUGCGGCUGAUGCCCGGAGACGGAACCCCGCGGCUCCCGAAGCGCAGCGCUCGUGGGGCUGCUGGCUGCUCAGCGCAGCCACGGCCGGGUCCUGCGGUGUGGGGGGCACGGAGGCUCGGGGGCCCCGUGGCACAGCCUGAUGGACGUCCGCGGGGACGGAGCUGUGCAGCCCUCCGGAGCCCGGCUAACGACGUGACGGGUUUGGUAGCGCUAAAAUAGGAUUUGAAUCCCGGGAAGCAUCAUUUCACAUUCCAGUGAUCUAAUCAAAAUCCUCUCCUCUAAUCUCUCCGUGGUCCCCCUUUUCUAGAUGAAAGAGGCCGGAGUUGCUGCCUUCACCCUUCAUCCGCUGCCUCCCCGUUCUACCAGUCUGUUCUGUGUCCAGGCAACUGCAAAGAGACAUUUCAAAGGCUCCUGCCGUGCCAUGGAGAUGUUUUCUCUUGUUAGUUUGGGCUGCAGGAGCUCCAUCCUGUCUCCUUGCUGCCAGUCUGACAGAGCAGCUCUGUGCUGGAUCCCGACGUGUUUCAGCAGCGCGGUGGUGAAGAGGGGCACACGGUGUGGCCGAACUGGGGAUGUGCUGGGAACGGUGGGCCGGCAGCCGGCUGCUGGGCGCCCGGUGCUCCUGCUGGCUGCAGGGCAGGAUCAGUGCCUCGCCUGCCGUUGCCGUUCACCCAAGGAGGUCUCUCCUGCCGGCUCUGCUUUCUGGAAGCGCUGCAUUCCAUGCCGUCCUGCGGGGCUCAGAGCCCUGCAGAGCAGUGGUGAUCUGCGCCGUGUUUCUGCUGGACCGUACCUGGCCGAGAGGGAAGAAGGAGCCGGGCUGUCGGUGCGCCCUGGCAAGCAGCCGGUGGGGAUAAAGUUUCCUCAGAUUAUGAUGUUUUCAGAAAUCAGCUCUGUGUGCUCGUUUGAGGCAGGCUUCCUUAAGGUGUAGCCACACAGACACCCUUACCAAGCUCACAGAGGGGGAUUAAGAUUGGAUAUAUGGAAGUUUUUUACCAUUGGGGUGGAGAGGCACUGCACAGACUGCUCAGAGAGUGGUGCCCAUCCCUGCAGAGCCCCAGGGUCAGGCUGGAGGGCUGUGAGCCCUGAUGGACCUGUGGGUGUCCGUGUGCACUGCAGGCAGUGGAACCAGAUGGCCUCUGGGUGUCCCUUCCAACUCAAACUGUUCUGUGAUUCUACGAUUUUAGAACAUGAAAAGCAGAGAGGAACUCAUCCCAAAUCCCGUCCCUCUCCAGUCUGAACACAUCAUUCUGCCACUCUUCAGCUGGAUUUGAGAGCACAGUGAGCCUUGUUCCAUCCAUCGUGUUACACCGUGCCCAUUGCAUAGUCAGACUCCAGAGGGACCGCAGAGAACAGAGCUAGCCAAGCAGACAGGUAAUUUAUGUUGCUGAGAGAUUUAGCCCAGAUUAAGAUCAAGAUUCAUAUUAUGCCUUUAACAUCACAGAUUUUUUUUUUCCAAUUAUUGUCGAUGACUCCACUGAUUUAUGUCCUGUAACAGCCAGAGGUUUUGCAGCACAUAAAUUGCAGAAAAUUUGGCCAGCAAUCCAUGGUGAUCUGUGCAGGCUCAGGAACCCCCUGAGCUGCAGAGGGAUGGAAGGCGGAGGGCACUGCAGCCUUCCCUGGGUGCCCACCCGAGGGCAGUGGCAGACAGCACUCUCACCUGGCUGGGCUCCUGUUCUCAUCCGGGAUGCUUGGAAUCACUGUGGGGGUUCCCAUCUUGUUUGGUACUUUGGGGAAGUUUUUGCACAAAUCAUGUACAGGGUAGCACACAUGAUCCAAAUGUGAAAUCCUUUGAGCACUACAGAGGCUCAGGUAGGUGGAAGAGAAGAAAGCAGUUCUUACAGAGGGCAGGGAAAACGGCCACAAUUAAAAGCGAAGCAAAUUUGGGCAGUGUGGUUGCUUGCUCAUUAGCUCUGAAGACAUUCAUAAGCAUUCAGCAUAACCCACAACAGAUCUUCAUUGAGAAUUUGUGGAUUAACCCACAGCAACAAAGGCAUGUGAUGACAUCGUAGUGGUAUUCUUUGCCGUGCGCCGUAGAUGUUACUGAAGACCCCAAAAGAACAAACAGCAUCGAUGUGCACAGUGAAUGGAGUCUGCCUUCCCAGACUGGACACAUCUGCAGUAUUUCUGUCAAAUAACUGGUUUUCUUACAGUGCAUUCUAUCCAGAUGCAUGGUCAGGUUUUGGCCAACAUAAGCAAUAACAAUACCCAUAGGCAAUCAAAAGAAUUAGAGAAUAAAAGGACCUAUCAGAUCAUCUACUCCCUGCAGCUGGCAGUGAAGAACAGUUUCACACUGAAUCCAAUAAGUAUGUGGUUUGUGCCAGCUUUCAUUGUAGGCAUUACCCUUGCCUGGUUGAGCUUCACCCCGUAUGCAGGGCGAUAUUGGAGGCAGCGUUCUGCUGGGGUGAGCCUGCACGUGCCUGUUCUGGAUGGGCAAAAUUCCAACCUUUUUUCCUCACUCCUGGAACUUUCCACUUAUUUACUUCUUCUUCACACUUUCUUUCAUUUUUUUUUACGCAUCUUUUUCUGUGUUAUCCAACCAUUGCUGCUCCUCAACUCUUGCUAUUCCUCAACUCUUGCUGCUCCUCAGCUCUUGCUUCUCCUCUUGUAGAUCUUCAGUAUUUUCCAUAUUAUUUAAGAAUAAAAAUCGGAAACCAAUAAACAAAAUCCCUUCCUGCUUUCUGAGCCACGCUGAUGAUGCUCCUUACUUUGUGCCAUUCCCCCACGGUGGGAGCGCUGGGUUAGUGCUGGAGCUGGGGCUGGGAGCUGUGCUCAGCUGCUGUCACCGCUCCCUUCGUGCCAUUCACUGAAUCUCCCCGCAGUUCCUCCAUUCUGUGUGACACCUGUGGUCAUCAGGAGAUACAGAUCUCGUGGUGGCUGUGAGGUCAGAAGAGGGAAGCUGCAAGCAGGCGAUGGAGAGAUGAGUACCUGAGACAGCUGAGGGGGCACUCCCUCCCCUACCAGUUUCCCUUUCAUUCACUUCCCGAUAGGGCCAAUAAAGCGGGUAAGCGUACAGCUGAUGCUAUCUUGGAAACAAAGAGAGAAGAAAGGUUGUUCUUGCACUUCCAAUCGUGGCAGCUCCCUCUCCCACUGGGAAGAAGGGCAGGUCCCCACACUCCCCCCCAGCCAGGCACUGCCUCCCCCUCCUCCUGCUAACCCUGCCAAGGGUGGUCCAGGGGUGGCACCGGGUCCGGUGCUGCUGGCUCAGCCCUGCAGUGCUCAGGGAGAGGCAGCCACACCAGGCCCUGUUGCAACACGCAGCGACGGGAGAUGGGAGGCAGACGGGUGUGCGGGGCCGGAGAGACAGGUGUGUGCGGAGAUGGGCGGAUAGCGAGGCAGACAGACAGCCUCAUCCGGUGCGAAACAAAACCCCGCAGCACUGGCUGGGAGCUGCAUUGGUCGCAGCACAGGAUGUUUAGGAUGGUUGAGGUGGUUUGUCUUCAAAUAACGUGUGUGAUUUCAUUUGGGGAAGCGCAUCUUUUCUUAGAAACACGACUGUGACUUGCUUGGAACAACUGUGAUUCGCUGCAGACACAACUGUGCUUGGCGCUGUUGGACCCGAACGCCGGGGUAGGAGAAGCAGUAACUGUGGAUUAAUGCAGAAAGGGAGAAAAUAGAGACCCUUCGAGGGAGCCAUAAGUUCACUGCAGCCUCCAUAUACUGGCACAGUGUAGUAAAUAUUUUGCUGUGGAGAACCUCCUCGUGGGGAGUGCAUGGGGUUCCUGCCUCAGCACAGAGCGCACACAAAGCUGCUGCUCAGCUUUUUGUGCCACUCUCUCUCGUAUGAGACUCAGCCAAGUGAAUGGGAGACGCAACACACCACCAGCUCAGCACCAGUCCUGUGCCAAUGUGCUAUAGGAAGGCCAUGUUUAGGAGGUGGAUAUCCCUAGGGGAAAUGGUACACCUGAAAAUGAACCCACGUGCUAAAGACAGCAGAUCAGGAUUGUAUUCAUUCUGUAACGCGUAGGAAAGAAGUUGAUUGUUUUUCCCUUGGCAUUGCUUCACUUCCUGCUUGGUGUUUGGGUGGUGAUGGAUUACCAAAAAGGAAAAAAAAGAAAGAAAAAGUAAAUGUAUUUUAAAAUUACCUUUUGCUUUUGAAUAAAUAGAUCCAGUCUCAUUCAGGUCACAAUUCUCCACGUGUACACCUGGCCCUUAUUUGCACUGCUUGGCCUUGUCCUGGAUGGAAGCUUUAACCUGAUGUGAAUCCAGAGGAGUUACAUGGGAGCCCAUGGGAUUGCUGUGCAUGUCCUUGGGGGUAGGCUGGUGCAGACCUCGGCCGACGCAUCUUGUUGUGUUCUUUCUGUAAAUAACCAGCUGGAUUUGGCCCAAGAGUAAAACAAAUUGAAACCAUUCACAAAGAGAAGAGGUAAAUGGCUUAAGGGAUCAGAGCAGUGUAUUGGUGGGCUGCCUCCAAGUCUCCAGUUUUUAAUAGUACCCGAGCUCACACAAAACUUUAGUUUAAUACGUUCCUAAAUGUGCUGCUGUGUGGGGCCGGCUGCUGGCUCCGGGCCGUGCAUGUAAGACCUGUUUUCAUGGAAGGAUUAUAUUAAAACAUUUAAAAACUGCAAGAAGGAGAAUGUUCGAGGGCAGCCAGCCGGGAGGAAGCACGUCUAACUUCAUCACGUGAAGUGUUUAUAAGUGCAGUUCAUCAGCAUGUACGAAAGAGUAAUUUUGGGGGGAACUUUUCAGGCCUCAACUGCCGCACAGAAAAGAAAUAAUCGCUGAUUUGUCUUUAUCAAGGAUUCCCAGAGAAUGCGCUGCGCUCCAGAUAUUUAUUUUGACCUUUUAUUCUUUUUAAAUAUCUUAUUGUUUGGCUGAUGGGUUCUAAUUAGCGUUUUUGUCUGCUCUCCGUGUGUGACUGACAGAAAUUGUUUGUCUGGUUUCUCCGAAAAUUGAAAUUCUUAGAAGAUUUUUGACAAAACGUUGGACUUUCUCAGACGUCUGAUUCACUUCUAGGCAGUCCUACGCAGAGCCAGGAGUUGGCCUCAGUGGUGCUGGUGGGUCUCUUCCAGCUCCGGAUGUUCUGUGAUUUGGUCACACGUGGGUUGCUGAAUUUGACCUACAACCCCCCCAUUUCUAUUUCCCUUCCAGCAUCGGUGUAAAUCUGAAGUGACACAGAACGGCUGGAAUUGCAAUGACGCGGUGUAACAGCGCUGACUAUCAAGCUUCAUAUAUAGAUUAGAUUAAUACAUAAAUCUAAUUUGAUAUUUCACAUUACUGGGCUAAUAUUUUACAGAUGUAAUGCCAAGUUGUUAAGUAAAUGAAAAUCACGGAGAGUCCAAUUCUGAAAGGAUUACUCAGGCAAAAAUCCCUGAAGUCAAAGGGAGUAUUGCCUGAACGAAGUCUGCAAAAUUAGAACUAGAGCCAUAUUCCCAAAGCAGACAAGUAGAUUUAUCUUAGAGAUCUGCCCAUGAGUUGAAUUCUUGUAGCAAUGAAAGAUAUAUUGGGAAAAUGAACAAGGAGGUAACCUGAAAUGUAAGGAGAGGCUGAUAAGAUCGCACCAACCCUGAGCAAGCACUUGUGUGGUUGGUGAUGUCAACAGGAACCCGAGCUGCUUUAAUAAACUUGUUCAUAGUUGUCCUAUACGUUGCUUUAUAUACCGAAAGGCACAGAUCACUUAAGAGUUUAACAGGAAAAGGAUUUAUAUUAAAUUUGCACAUAAAAUGCCUCUGUGAAAUAUGUGAAAUGCUUUUUUAUAUGAUUCCAAUAAAACAUUGAUCAUAAAA
Molecule: RNA transcript, 6304 nt
Organism: Gallus gallus (chicken)
Lineage: Eukaryota; Metazoa; Chordata; Aves; Galliformes; Phasianidae
Exons: 4
Source: RefSeq, a predicted model, not a curated record